GGAUGUUCCAUAGGGUCUGCUACAAACGUAUGUGUCAUUCAGUUGAUGUAUACGGUUACUUCGUCAUUUACUGUGAGCAAAAUAGGGUGUUCAAAGCAGGCUUAUGCCGUUGAAUACAUUAGCAUGGAAUAAUAAGAUAGGACCUUGGUCUAUUUUGUUGGUUUGUACUCCAAGGUA
This 177-nucleotide ribosomal RNA is filed under the name uncultured fungus. RNAcentral's name for it is "partial small subunit ribosomal RNA". The stretch from base 21 to 177 matches the Rfam family "Eukaryotic small subunit ribosomal RNA", at positions 705 to 864 of the family's 1831-position model. The record is from RNAcentral. Lineage: Eukaryota; Fungi.